Long non-coding RNA from Astatotilapia calliptera (eastern happy), 1186 nucleotides. Lineage: Eukaryota; Metazoa; Chordata; Actinopteri; Cichliformes; Cichlidae. The record is from Ensembl.
GAUUAGGUCACGCCUGACUGUUAUUGAAUGCCACAACUGGGGCAACCUUACUGGGAUCGUGCCAUUGAAAUGGUCGUGGCAGGGCAGGCAACCAGGCAUGUUGCCUGCCCUGCAACAUGUAGAGUCGCUUGAGUGACAGAGCUUCUCCUCCACAGAUUCAGCAGCAACUCCAGGCAGCAGUGAUUGAAGAGUGGGAGCCACCCCACUGGAUGACAUCCGGAAGUUAAGCCUGUCCAUGGGGCAUAUUAGUGCAAUGAUCAAUGCAGAUGAGGGGCACACUAAUUAAUGAUUGUGUGUGUGUGUGUGUGUGUGUGUGUGUGUGUGUGUGUGUGUGUGUGUGUGUGUGUGUGUGUGUGUGUGUGUGUGUGUGUGUUUUACUGUAACCUGCAACAUACAGUGCAUAUGUUAAUUGGGAUUUUUUUUUUUUUUUUUGGCUCUUUUUCCUUAUAAAAAGGUAAUGAUAGUCUCUCCUUGUCUUCUGCCAGAAUGCCUGUAUUUACUGCCUGUCUGUCAUGUGUUGUGCUGCUCAGGAAGACUUUUUGACUCAGCUGUGCUGCCUUAAGAUUCCUACAUUUGAGCCCUGGAUCUGACACACAAACACACAUGCAGAUGUAAAAGGAAGCUACAAGCCAAUAUUUUCAUCCAGCUUGAAGAUGCCAUCUGAACUCCACCAGAGGGAGACAGAGCAACGCUGAAAAUGUCCCAGAUGGUCCGGUAGGCAUCAACAAGUCUUCUGAAGAAACUGACUGGAUAAUUUCUCAUAACUCGAAUGGAAAUAUGAGCAGCAUAGUGGAGAGAAUUCACACUUAUAGUGAAAUUGUUUCAGAAAUAUUGACCUUUUCACUUCAGGCAGAUUUCUUUCUAAGGAGAAAACCUUUUUUGUCUUUUUUGACAGAGAAAGACAAAUUUAUAGGUUUUGACCACAUUUAACAGCCUCAGUGAAGGGAACACAUUUCAUGAGUCAUCGGGUGAUGAUCAUGAUUUGCAGAAAGGUUAAAAAAAAACAAAACAAAAAAGUUAACUAUGACUUAUAUAACACAGACAGCAAAGAAAGCACAAUUAACUGUGAUGAUUGUAUGACUUUUUUCAUUAAACUGACUGUAAACUUUGCAUUUACAUGUUUUCACUAAUACUGCCAGAACAUCCACAUUUUCAGCAGCUGAACGCUGGAAAGACUGAAAUUAAC